This 712-nucleotide long non-coding RNA is filed under the name Malus domestica (apple). RNAcentral describes it as "long non-coding RNA (MDOM_LNC001237)". Lineage: Eukaryota; Viridiplantae; Streptophyta; Magnoliopsida; Rosales; Rosaceae. The record is from RNAcentral.
GAUAUUAUCCCGAUAUUUCCAUCGAUAUUUCCGUGUUUUCAAACUACCGAUAUUUCCGAUAUUACUGAUAUUUUCUUCCUUGGUUGUGACAACUACCGAAUUCUUGUAACUUGUUAGCUUCACAGUACAAAGGUUAGCAGGUAUCGGAUUCAGCUAACGCCGAAAUAAAUGAGCACAAUGACCAAAAUUUGUUGCGACAAAUAGUAGCAAACAGUACUAUAGUAGCAUGAAAACCCAACAAAACUAGUCCUACAAUUUGACAUAUAACCACUUUGAAGGAGACAAGCUAUGGAGUUUGGAGGAUGAUCAAUUUUUUGUCAGGUCAAUUGGUAAAUUUAGAUGACAAAUAGCCAGUUAAUCAUAGUUUAGUGGUAAUAAUCCUAUGUGUUUAUCACUUUUUUACCCAUCAAAAGCUUGAUAUGCAGAGAUAUUUGGUCAAUCAAAAUUAUAGUACAAGAAAGUUAAAUUCUUAGCAUUUGUUCUGCAUUAAAAUUAUAUAUGUUGUUUGUCUAUGAAGCAGAAUUCUCUCUCGGAAUAGGAUUAUCUCUCCUUCUUUUUUCUCUCACAUCCUUUUUUUUCUUCACUCUCUAUAAAGAAGUCAACACAAGAUGUUGACAUAGCUUAAUCAAAGUCCUUACGUUUUUUUCAUCACUACCUCCUCAAAUGUAUCAUCCCAUCACCAGCCAAGGUCCCCUCAAGAUCUCCAAUAAUU